Molecule: ribosomal RNA, 495 nt
Filed under: uncultured bacterium
Lineage: Bacteria
Description: partial 16S ribosomal RNA
Rfam family: Bacterial small subunit ribosomal RNA
Source: RNAcentral
GACGAACGCUGGCGGCGUGCCUAAUACAUGCAAGUAGAACGCUGAAGGAGGAGCUUGCUCUUCUGGAUGAGUUGCGAACGGGUGAGUAACGCGUAGGUAACCUGCCUGGUAGCGGGGGAUAACUAUUGGAAACGAUAGCUAAUACCGCAUAACAGUAGAUGUUGCAUGACAUUUACUUAAAAGGUGCAAUUGCAUCACUACCAGAUGGACCUGCGUUGUAUUAGCUAGUUGGUGGGGUAACGGCUCACCAAGGCGACGAUACAUAGCCGACCUGAGAGGGUGAUCGGCCACACUGGGACUGAGGCACGGCCCAGACUCCUACGGGAGGCAGCAGUAGGGAAUCUUCGGCAAUGGGCGGAAGUCUGACCGAGCAACGCCGCGUGAGUGAAGAAGGUUUUCGGAUCGUAAAGCUCUGUUGUAAGAGAAGAACGAGUGUGAGAGUGGAAAGUUCACACUGUGACGGUAUCUUACCAGAAAGGGACGGCUAACUACGUG